This 255-nucleotide long non-coding RNA is filed under the name Elaeis guineensis (African oil palm). RNAcentral describes it as "long non-coding RNA (EGUI_LNC026168)". Lineage: Eukaryota; Viridiplantae; Streptophyta; Magnoliopsida; Arecales; Arecaceae. The record is from RNAcentral.
UUGUGGAAGCUUCAUCCAAAAGGGCCUGUGGGAGAGUGGGGUUCAGUGGGAUCCGAAGUGAGGUCAACGACUUCAUUAUGUACUGAAUGACUUCCUUUGGUAUAGCUUUUUCAUAAUUUUGGAAUAGCAUAUCUACCAGUGGGCUUGUACUCAUUUACCUUCGAUCGGGGCUAUGGUGCCGACCUUGGGGAUCGGAUAGGUCCGAAGUGAGAUUCCCACUACCACGUGUCUUUGAUAUGAGUGAUAAACUAUCCC